GCCUCAGAACAAGGGUUCUGCCAAAGAUUUAGCUCAUAUUCUCAUAAACAAGAAAAGUGUGGACAUGCUCUCACAUCUCAUUCUACCCGCAUGAGAAAGAUUCACAUACAGGAGGCAUGAUCGAGGA
RNAcentral lists this long non-coding RNA (127 nucleotides) under Fukomys damarensis (Damara mole-rat). RNAcentral's name for it is "lncRNA (ENSFDAG00000023643.1)". Lineage: Eukaryota; Metazoa; Chordata; Mammalia; Rodentia; Bathyergidae. The record is from RNAcentral.